UUUGGUUAAGUUAGAAAGGGCGCACGGUGGAUGCCUUGACACUAGGAGUCGAUGAAGGACGGGACUAACGCCGAUAUGCUUCGGGGAGCUGUAAGUAAGCUUUGAUCCGAAGAUUUCCGAAUGGGGAAACCCACCAUACGUAAUGGUAUGGUAUCCUUAUCUGAAUACAUAGGGUAAGGAAGACAGACCCAGGGAACUGAAACAUCUAAGUACCUGGAGGAAGAGAAAGCAAAUGCGAUUUCCUGAGUAGCGGCGAGCGAAACGGAACAUAGCCCAAACCAAGAGGCUUGCCUCUUGGGGUUGUAGGACAUUCUAUACGGAGUUACAAAGGAACGAGGUAGACGAAGCGACCUGGAAAGGUCCGUCGUAGAGGGUAACAACCCCGUAGUCGAAACUUCGUUCUCUCUUGAAUGUAUCCUGAGUACGGCGGAACACGUGAAAUUCCGUCGGAAUCUGGGAGGACCAUCUCCCAAGGCUAAAUACUCCCUAGUGAUCGAUAGUGAACCAGUACCGUGAGGGAAAGGUGAAAAGCACCCCGGAAGGGGAGUGAAAGAGAUCCUGAAACCGUGUGCCUACAAAUAGUCAGAGCCCGUUAACGGGUGAUGGCGUGCCUUUUGUAGAAUGAACCGGCGAGUUACGAUCCCGUGCGAGGUUAAGCUGAAGAGGCGGAGCCGCAGCGAAAGCGAGUCUGAAUAGGGCGUUUAGUACGUGGUCGUAGACCCGAAACCAGGUGAUCUACCCAUGUCCAGGGUGAAGUUCAGGUAACACUGAAUGGAGGCCCGAACCCACGCACGUUGAAAAGUGCGGGGAUGAGGUGUGGGUAGCGGAGAAAUUCCAAUCGAACCUGGAGAUAGCUGGUUCUCCCCGAAAUAGCUUUAGGGCUAGCCUUAAGUGUAAGAGUCUUGGAGGUAGAGCACUGAUUGGACUAGGGGUCCUCAUCGGAUUACCGAAUUCAGUCAAACUCCGAAUGCCAAUGACUUAUCCUUAGGAGUCAGACUGCGAGUGAUAAGAUCCGUAGUCAAAAGGGAAACAGCCCAGACCGCCAGCUAAGGUCCCAAAGUGUGUAUUAAGUGGAAAAGGAUGUGGAGUUGCUUAGACAACUAGGAUGUUGGCUUAGAAGCAGCCACCAUUUAAAGAGUGCGUAAUAGCUCACUAGUCGAGUGACUCUGCGCCGAAAAUGUACCGGGGCUAAAUACACCACCGAAGCUGCGGAUUGAUACCGAAUGGUAUCAGUGGUAGGGGAGCGUUCUAAGGACAGUGAAGUCAGACCGUAAGGACUGGUGGAGUGCUUAGAAGUGAGAAUGCCGGUAUGAGUAGCGAAAGACGGGUGAGAAUCCCGUCCACCGAAUGCCUAAGGUUUCCUGAGGAAGGCUCGUCCGCUCAGGGUUAGUCAGGACCUAAGCCGAGGCCGACAGGCGUAGGCGAUGGACAACAGGUUGAUAUUCCUGUACCACCUCUUUAUCGUUUGAGCAAUGGAGGGACGCAGAAGGAUAGAAGAAGCGUGCGAUUGGUUGUGCACGUCCAAGCAGUUAGGCUGAUAAGUAGGCAAAUCCGCUUAUCGUGAAGGCUGAGCUGUGAUGGGGAAGCUCCUUAUGGAGCGAAGUCUUUGAUUCCCCGCUGCCAAGAAAAGCUUCUAGCGAGAUAAAAGGUGCCUGUACCGCAAACCGACACAGGUAGGCGAGGAGAGAAUCCUAAGGUGUGCGAGAGAACUCUGGUUAAGGAACUCGGCAAAAUGACCCCGUAACUUCGGGAGAAGGGGUGCUUUCUUAACGGAAAGCCGCAGUGAAUAGGCCCAAGCGACUGUUUAGCAAAAACACAGCUCUCUGCGAAGCCGUAAGGCGAAGUAUAGGGGGUGACACCUGCCCGGUGCUGGAAGGUUAAGGAGAGGGGUUAGCGUAAGCGAAGCUCUGAACUGAAGCCCCAGUAAACGGCGGCCGUAACUAUAACGGUCCUAAGGUAGCGAAAUUCCUUGUCGGGUAAGUUCCGACCCGCACGAAAGGUGUAACGAUUUGGGCACUGUCUCAACCAGAGACUCGGUGAAAUUAUAGUACCUGUGAAGAUGCAGGUUACCCGCGACAGGACGGAAAGACCCCGUGGAGCUUUACUGUAGCCUGAUAUUGAAUUUUGGUACAGUUUGUACAGGAUAGGCGGGAGCCAUUGAAACCGGAGCGCUAGCUUCGGUGGAGGCGCUGGUGGGAUACCGCCCUGACUGUAUUGAAAUUCUAACCUACGGGUCUUAUCGACCCGGGAGACAGUGUCAGGUGGGCAGUUUGACUGGGGCGGUCGCCUCCUAAAGUGUAACGGAGGCGCCCAAAGGUUCCCUCAGAAUGGUUGGAAAUCAUUCGUAGAGUGCAAAGGCAUAAGGGAGCUUGACUGCGAGACCUACAAGUCGAGCAGGGACGAAAGUCGGGCUUAGUGAUCCGGUGGUUCCGCAUGGAAGGGCCAUCGCUCAACGGAUAAAAGCUACCCCGGGGAUAACAGGCUUAUCUCCCCCAAGAGUCCACAUCGACGGGGAGGUUUGGCACCUCGAUGUCGGCUCAUCGCAUCCUGGGGCUGUAGUCGGUCCCAAGGGUUGGGCUGUUCGCCCAUUAAAGCGGUACGCGAGCUGGGUUCAGAACGUCGUGAGACAGUUCGGUCCCUAUCCGUCGUGGGCGUAGGAAAUUUGAGAGGAGCUGUCCUUAGUACGAGAGGACCGGGAUGGACGCACCGCUGGUGUACCAGUUGUUCUGCCAAGGGCAUAGCUGGGUAGCUAUGUGCGGAAGGGAUAAGUGCUGAAAGCAUCUAAGCAUGAAGCCCCCCUCAAGAUGAGAUUUCCCAUAGCGUAAGCUAGUAAGAUCCCUGAAAGAUGAUCAGGUUGAUAGGUUCGAGGUGGAAGCAUGGUGACAUGUGGAGCUGACGAAUACUAAUAGAUCGAGGACUUAACCAUAUAAUAUU
Molecule: ribosomal RNA, 2934 nt
Filed under: Bacillus cereus
Lineage: Bacteria; Bacillati; Bacillota; Bacilli; Caryophanales; Bacillaceae
Description: bacterial LSU rRNA
Rfam family: Bacterial large subunit ribosomal RNA
Source: RNAcentral